UUCAUCUUUUAAAGGACCUUUUGGUUAUUGUGACUAAUGCUGCUAUGAAGAUUUAUGUACAAAUAUCUGUUCGCAUUGCUGCUUUCAAGUUUUUAGUAGAGGCAAAGACCAGAGCUUGGAGAAUGUAAGCUGCUUAUCCAAGAUCAUGUAACUGGUAAAUGGAUGAUCCAGGAUUCAAACCCAGAAAAACCAAACCAACAAUGAAAAAAAAAAAGAAAAUGUAGCUAUUCCAGCUGACAACCCCUGCUGGGGACCCAGGAU
Long non-coding RNA from Choloepus didactylus (southern two-toed sloth), 261 nucleotides. RefSeq lists it as uncharacterized. The transcript is spliced from 3 exons. NCBI's taxonomy places the organism in Eukaryota, Metazoa, Chordata, Mammalia, Pilosa, Megalonychidae. The record is from RefSeq and is a predicted model, not a curated record.